GUCUCAAAGAUUAAGCCAUGCAUGUCUAAGUAUAAAUCAUUUAUACAGGUGAAACUGCGAAUGGCUCAUUAAAUCAGUUAUAGUUUAUUUGAUAGUACAAUUACUACUUGGAUAACCGUGGUAAUUCUAGAGCUAAUACAUGCUAAAAGUCUCGACUUCUGGAAGGGACGUAUUUAUUAGAUAAAAACCAACAA
This 194-nucleotide ribosomal RNA is filed under the name Scutellospora sp. SA1. RNAcentral's name for it is "partial small subunit ribosomal RNA". It matches the Rfam family "Eukaryotic small subunit ribosomal RNA", at positions 34 to 228 of the family's 1831-position model. Lineage: Eukaryota; Fungi; Glomeromycota; Glomeromycetes; Diversisporales; Gigasporaceae. The record is from RNAcentral.